Molecule: ribosomal RNA, 500 nt
Filed under: uncultured bacterium
Lineage: Bacteria
Description: partial 16S ribosomal RNA
Rfam family: Bacterial small subunit ribosomal RNA
Source: RNAcentral
AUUGAACGCUGGCGGCAUGCCUUACACAUGCAAGUCGAACGGCAGCACGGGAGCAAUCCUGGUGGCGAGUGGCGAACGGGUGAGUAAUACAUCGGAACGUGCCCGGUCGUGGGGGAUAACGUAGCGAAAGUUACGCUAAUACCGCAUACGAUCUAUGGAUGAAAGCGGGGGAUCGCAAGACCUCGCGCGAUUGGAGCGGCCGAUGGCAGGUUAGGUUGUUGGUGGGGUAAUGGCUUACCAAGCCUCCGAUCUGUAGCUGGUCUGAGAGGACGGUCGGCCACACUGGGACUGAGACACAGCCCAGACUCCUACGGGAGGCAGCAGUGGGGAAUUUUGGACAAUGGGCGAAAGCCUGAUCCAGCAAUGCCGCGUGCAGGACGAAGGCCUUCGGGUUGUAAACUGCUUUUGUACGGAGCGAAACGGCUCUCACUAAUACUGGGGGCUAAUGACGGUACCGUAAGAAUAAGCACCGGCUAACUACGUGCCAGCCGCCGCAGUAA